UCCCUGGUGGUCCAGGGGCUAGGACUCUGCACUUCCAAUGCAGGGGGCCUGGGUUCAAUCCCAGGUUGCGGAA
RNAcentral lists this transfer RNA (73 nucleotides) under Bos taurus (domestic cattle). It matches the Rfam family "tRNA". Rfam says of the family: Transfer RNA (tRNA) molecules are approximately 80 nucleotides in length. Lineage: Eukaryota; Metazoa; Chordata; Mammalia; Artiodactyla; Bovidae. The record is from Rfam by way of RNAcentral.